GACGUGGUGGCAGAGUGGUCUAAUGCGCAAGACUAGGAAUCUCCUAGAACAUCUUGUUUCUUCGGGAGCGUCGGUUUGAAUACGGCCUACGUUG
Lasiosphaeria hispida is the source of this 94-nucleotide non-coding RNA. The record is from the annotation of a GenBank genome assembly. NCBI's taxonomy places the organism in Eukaryota, Fungi, Ascomycota, Sordariomycetes, Sordariales, Lasiosphaeriaceae.